This 784-nucleotide long non-coding RNA is filed under the name Daphnia magna. RNAcentral describes it as "uncharacterized LOC116920472, transcript variant X1". Lineage: Eukaryota; Metazoa; Arthropoda; Branchiopoda; Diplostraca; Daphniidae. The record is from RNAcentral.
AAGCAACAUCGAAAGGCGAAAGAGUCAGAAGAAAAACGAAACUAAAUUCAAAGAAAAACAAAAUUCGUUCUCUUCCUUCCAUUUCCCUUUUCAUAUCACCUUCGCUAGACAGUUUCUGCAUUUGGUUUUUCAUUGGUGGCAGCAGUCAGACGUGUCGAAACUUGUUCCAAGUUCUCCGCCAUUUUUUUUUUCAUUUCGUUUCACGUGUCAAUGGUGUCAUUUAGUUCAGAUUUCUUUAAGCGUCGAUUACAAUUCAUUGCUUUGCAUGUGCUAACAGCCAGCACAUCCAUAGUUGGAUUUUACACCAACGAUUUUGUUCAGAAUAGCAAAAUCAUGAAGGGGACAACCUCAGUAGUCUAUGGUUUUAUUUAAGGUUCUUCGUCUAUACGAUCAAUUGUCAGCUUCCAACCGAAUCCAAACACGCACACCUUGAAAAAAAGUUGCAUCGUUUCUUCAUUUACCUACACAGGUAAAGCCAUGGCUCACUCAUCCAGAAAAUGUGAAUUGGUAAUAUUGUUGAGCUAAUCAUUGACCCGCUAACCAAACUGAUAGCCCGUCCAAGCUGUUAUUGUUUGUCUAGAUCUUGCAGAAUGGGAAAAACACAAAAGGCGACGAAAACCAAACAAGAUUUUUAUUUUCCCGUUUUGUAAUGCUUAUCUCACCUAAACGGAGUUUGUCAACAAAGAUGUCAUCUUCUCUAUCAGCAUCAAAAUAAGCAUGCAAGGCAGCCACUGAUAACAGCACAAAACCUUUUCUCGCCAAUAAAUUACGACGCAUCUCCUAC